Molecule: ribosomal RNA, 253 nt
Filed under: uncultured bacterium
Lineage: Bacteria
Description: partial 16S ribosomal RNA
Rfam family: Bacterial small subunit ribosomal RNA
Source: RNAcentral
UACGUAGGGCGCAAGCGUUACCCGGAAUUAUUGGGCGUAAAGAGCUCGUAGGCGGUUUGUCGCGUCUGCCGUGAAAGUCCGGGGCUCAACUCCGGAUCUGCGGUGGGUACGGGCAGACUAGAGUGAUGUAGGGGAGACUGGAAUUCCUGGUGUAGCGGUGAAAUGCGCAGAUAUCAGGAGGAACACCGAUGGCGAAGGCAGGUCUCUGGGCAUUAACUGACGCUGAGGAGCGAAAGCAUGGGGAGCGAACAGG